GUGCCCUGCGAGCAAGAGAGAGAGAGAAGAGCGCGAGCCUGCGAGCAAGAGAGAGAGAGAGAGAAGAGCGCGAGAGAAAACGAGAGGCGAGAGAGCGAGAGAAAGCGAGGAAGCGAGAGAGAGCGAGAAACAGAGAUAGCGAGAGAGCUGUGCGGGAGAGAGAAGUGUAGUAGGGUUUAAUUUAGGUUAGCUUUAGCAAGAAGUAAAAAAGGGGUGAGGUUAGAAGCUACUGUGCUAGUGGGUUAAUAUCAGCCAUUGGAUCUGAUAGUUGUAGGAUAUACACCUUCCUAUAGGAG
RNAcentral lists this long non-coding RNA (296 nucleotides) under Ananas comosus (pineapple). RNAcentral describes it as "long non-coding RNA (ACOM_LNC035297)". The record is from RNAcentral. Lineage: Eukaryota; Viridiplantae; Streptophyta; Magnoliopsida; Poales; Bromeliaceae.